RNAcentral lists this ribosomal RNA (202 nucleotides) under uncultured bacterium. RNAcentral describes it as "partial 16S ribosomal RNA". It matches the Rfam family "Bacterial small subunit ribosomal RNA", at positions 1300 to 1500 of the family's 1533-position model. The record is from RNAcentral.
GCAGGCUGCAACCCGCCUGUAUGAAGUUGGAAUCGCUAGUAAUCGCGGAUCAGCAUGCCGCGGUGAAUACGUUCCCGGGCCUUGUACACACCGCCCGUCACACCAUGGGAGCCGGUAAUACCCGAAGUCAGUAGUCUAACCGCAAGGGGGGACGCUGCCGAAGGUAGGAUUGGCGACUGGGGUGAAGUCGUAACAAGGUAUC